AGGGAGCUGCCUCUAUAAAUAGGGUGAAGCCCACGAGACAUGUUCACACCCAGCAGAGCUUCCCAAGAGAUUUUCUGAACGUUCACAGUUGUCCGCCAGACGGUCGAGUUGUCUCAUGAUGCGCCGCCUGCGGAUACUCGUGGCAAUGGUGCUCCUCAUCUCUGGCACCUGCAUGUCUGCUCCACAGCGAUUGGGCGGAGCAGGUGCCUUAGGGCCAUUUCCACUUGGCUUGCUCUCAGCUCAACGGAAGAUCGUCGGUAAGGCCCUUAAGAACCCCGAUGUACCUGUCACUGGUACCAUCCUGAAGCUAGGGUGAUCCCUACUACAGGAUCAGCAACUACUACAAAUCCAGCAACAAAUGCUUUCAGCAAGCCUGCUUGUCUCCCAUCUCCAUCCUGCUUGUCUUCACUAUCCUGCUACACGUGACCCGCUGACGUACCCUGUACUCAGUGUCAGUGAACAGAUACAACAGUGAACAUUCAGUAACCGCUCUGACACAAAUAUUAUCACAAUGUGGUGACAACACACCUUCACUAACAUGUGGCCAGCAUUAACACACAGCAGUAAGAACGAUGGCCAACAAACAAACAAACAUAAACAAGUGAGAUGCUGCACUUUACAAACAAACAAACAUAAACAAGUGAGAUGCUGCACUUUACAAACAACAAACAUAAACAAGUGAGAUGCUGCACUUGACAAACAAAUGUUUCUGCUACUAGACGACAUUGUGUUUAUCUACAAUACAAAAUGUUUUUAUAAUGUUGUCAAUGUUAGCUGUAGUCUGUAUUUACUUACUCCAAUGUCUUGUCAGUGUACUGCCACAAGCUUCAGUGUAGAUAAAUGACAUCCUGUAGGCUCACUGUGUCUACUGUAGCCCUAUGAUGACUCUUGUCAUCGUGUCACGUGCAGCUUGAAACAUUGUCCACGAUGUCCUUACACACAAGCUCUCUGUUAUGUCUGUGUGUUCACUUCACUCUUGCUCCAUCUUUUAGUCUGCUUCUGCUGCUGGAUGAAAUAAUCUUGAAGUAAACAUAUCUAUCUUCAAUCAAA
Molecule: long non-coding RNA, 1050 nt
Organism: Pomacea canaliculata
Lineage: Eukaryota; Metazoa; Mollusca; Gastropoda; Architaenioglossa; Ampullariidae
Exons: 2
Source: RefSeq, a predicted model, not a curated record